GAUGAACGCUAGCUACAGGCUUAACACAUGCAAGUCGAGGGGAAACGGCAUUGAGUGCUUGCACUCUUUGGACGUCGACCGGCGCACGGGUGAGUAACGCGUAUCCAACCUUCCCAUUACUGUGGGAUAACCUGCCGAAAGGCAGACUAAUACCGCAUAGUCUUCGAUGACGGCAUCAGAUUUGAAGUAAAGAUUUAUCGGUAAUGGAUGGGGAUGCGUCUGAUUAGCUUGUUGGCGGGGUAACGGCCCACCAAGGCGACGAUCAGUAGGGGUUCUGAGAGGAAGGUCCCCCACAUUGGAACUGAGACACGGUCCAAACUCCUACGGGAGGCAGCAGUGAGGAAUAUUGGGCAAUGGACGGAAGUCUGAACCAGCCAAGUAGCGUGCAGGAUGACGGCCCUAUGGGUUGUAAACUGCUUUUGUAUGGGGAUAAAGUUAGGGACGUGUCCCUAUUUGCAGGUACCAUACGAAUAAGGACCGGCUAAUUCCGUG
RNAcentral lists this ribosomal RNA (492 nucleotides) under uncultured bacterium. RNAcentral describes it as "partial 16S ribosomal RNA". It matches the Rfam family "Bacterial small subunit ribosomal RNA", at positions 28 to 507 of the family's 1533-position model. The record is from RNAcentral.